GACAGAGGUGCCGAGCGUUAGGCGGAAUCACUGGGCUUAAAGCGUGUGUAGGCGGACUCGUAAGUGCUUUGUGAAAUCCCACGGCUCACCCGUGGAACUGCUUGGCAUACUGCGAGCCUUGAGCCACUUAUGGGCAACCGGAACAAACGGUGGAGCGGUGAAAUGCGUAGAUAUCGUAAGGAAGACCAGUGGCGAAGGCGGGUCUCUGGACAGUUCCUGACGCUGAGGCACGAAGGCCAGGGGAGCAAACGGG
RNAcentral lists this ribosomal RNA (253 nucleotides) under uncultured bacterium. Its description in RNAcentral is "partial 16S ribosomal RNA". It matches the Rfam family "Bacterial small subunit ribosomal RNA", at positions 524 to 776 of the family's 1533-position model. The record is from RNAcentral.